CUAGGUGGCCACACUGGAGGGGGUACACCCGGUUCCAUUCCGAACCCGGAAGUUAAGUCCUCAGAGGCCGAUGAUACUGANACCUGUUGGUUUUGGGAAAGUAGGUAGCUGCCUAGU
This 117-nucleotide ribosomal RNA is filed under the name bacterium. The record is from RNAcentral.